GAUGAACGCUGGCGGCGUGCCUAAUACAUGCCAGUCGAGCGAACGGACGAGAAGCUUACUUCUCUGAUGUUAGCGGCGGACGGGUGAGUAACACGUGGAUAACCUACCUAUAAGACUGGGAUAACUUCGGGAAACCGGAGCUAAUACCGGAUAAUAUUUUGAACCGCAUGGUUCAAAAGUGAAAGACGGUCUUGCUGUCACUUAUAGAUGGAUCCGCGCUGCAUUAGCUAGUUGGUAAGGUAACGGCUUACCAAGGCAACGAUGCAUAUCCGACCUGAGAGGGUGAUCGGCCACACUGGAACUGAGACACGGUCCAGGCUCCUACGGGAGGCAGCAGUAGGGAAUCUUCCGCAAUGGGCGAAAGCCUGACGGAGCAACGCCGCGUGAGUGAUGAAGGUCUUCGGAUCGUAAAACUCUGUUAUUAGGGAAGAACAUAUGUGUAAGUAACUGUGCACAUCUUGACGGUACCUAAUCAGAAAGCCACGGCUAACUACGUG
Molecule: ribosomal RNA, 497 nt
Filed under: uncultured bacterium
Lineage: Bacteria
Description: partial 16S ribosomal RNA
Rfam family: Bacterial small subunit ribosomal RNA
Source: RNAcentral